CUUUUCUGAUCUACCUGUUUCUUUUCUUGUAGAAACUCACGUAUUCACUUACUCAGACAAAUUGGUGCGGGCAAUUCCAUCAUUUUUCAAGAUGCUGACUUUUAAUGCAAGACUGCAAUUGUUUAACCAGGAUGGUAUCAUGUUUCUCUGUCUUGAUGUAGUUGCUAUGGCGCACUAGUUUGAGACCAGCAAGGGAUAACAACCAAGUGAAAGAUUAGGAGAAAUGCGAGAGACAACAUUUUCUUUCAGAAGCUCCUGUUACAUCUCUAAUAAAAAAUAACUUCAUCACUAACAUGAUAAAAAACGACAAUUAGUUAAACUGCUAGCUCAGAACGGCAGGAGCAUUAUAAGUAGAACGUAAAAUAUUUAGUUUGGUAUAUAAAGACACGAUAAUCCUCUGAAUAAGUUUAGAUAAUUAAUUUAAACUGCCAAAUGAAAAUAAAUUCACUUCUUAAUCUUA
Molecule: long non-coding RNA, 460 nt
Organism: Stylophora pistillata
Lineage: Eukaryota; Metazoa; Cnidaria; Anthozoa; Scleractinia; Pocilloporidae
Source: RefSeq, a predicted model, not a curated record